This is a long non-coding RNA of Populus euphratica (Euphrates poplar), 1484 nucleotides long. RefSeq lists it as uncharacterized. NCBI's taxonomy places the organism in Eukaryota, Viridiplantae, Streptophyta, Magnoliopsida, Malpighiales, Salicaceae. The transcript is spliced from 2 exons. The record is from RefSeq and is a predicted model, not a curated record.
AUUAGCUUUCUGCUAUUUUGUUUUUUCUGAAAUUCAUUCCCUCCCAUUAAGAAAAGGUAGACUCACAGUUGCACAGGCCAUGCCCAAAAAAAAGGUUUGUAAAUGACGUUUAAGAAAAUAGGUUGUAAGAAAAAGGUUGUAAAUGAUGUUCUUCGCGAACAAAAUAUAAUAAUAAAGCAAUAGUUUGUUCAAUGGUUGUGUUGCUGCUUACCACUGUUAGGAAGACUUGUUGAUAAUUAAUGUUGAAAAGGCAUAGCCAAAGCGCAGCAGAAAGGCCAAAGAAGACUAAGAUCGUUAGUGAAGAAGGCACCAAUAAGAGAAAACGGGCGAAAGAAUGAAAACAAGAGCUAGAGGAAGCAAAGCUGACCCAGAAAGCAAUGAAGCCAUUGGAAGACAGGAAUGAUAAUGCGGUGACUGACAGUAGCAGACCAAAACCAAAAAUUUGUCAUAACCUCAGCAACGCAGCAGAUACCAAAAAAAAAAAAAAAAAAAAAAAAAAAAAAAAAAAAAAAAAACUAGCACCCCAAGCAACUGGGUUGAAUCCCCGUAACAAGAUUAGCAUCAGCAGAAAUGUUUGGCCCUCUGAAGAUAUGAUCAAACCUGAUAUCAGCCAAAAAGCAUUUUCAAGCAUAAAUUGAAUCCAUCACCGAUUUUCCUCAGGUAAGCAAGUACUGGCUAGUUCAAUGGCGUCAGGAGAUGAACAACAAUGACAUUCCAGGUGCCCUUUUCACUUAUUUCUACAGUGUAAGUACUAUUUUGUUGAUCGGUUACAUGCAAAUAUCCAAUCAUUCUAAUUUGUUUUUGCCAUGGAUGUCCCCAAUUAUAUUUCAUUGUUGGUUGAAAUUAUUUUACACGCUUUUACUUGUGAGAUUUGCACAGAACCUGGAUUGCCACAGGAGUAUUUUGUCAACAAAAAUUAUCGCGCACAUUCUUUUUUGCCGAAAAUGCAUUGCCAAUACAUGGAAGUCGAAAGUCCUGGACAACAGUACAGCAAAUAUAAAAUGCCCUGGAAUGGAAUGUACACAUCUGUUGAGAGACUUGUGUCUUCUGAUGAAUCUCAAAAUCCCACCACAAUGAGAUAUGCAAGACAAAAUUUUGCUAUCAUUGUGGAACAACUCUCAGCCGGUUAUCAUCCCUGUAGGAAAACAGAUGCCAUUCGAACGUGCUGUUUUGUAUUUUUGGUUGCUCCGGCGUAUCCUCCGGCCUCUACCAGAUCAAGAGACUAAUCUCUUUCAUGGUAUCGACAAGCACCUUAAAGCAGGUUCCACAACAACCAACAAGGAUUCAAAGCCUGUUCGCCUCAUGAGGAGAACUGGCCUCUUGCCGCUAGACGAAACCAUCGUUUGUAAAGAAAUAGAUGAUUGAGUUCUCAAACAAUCUCAUUUCACUCAUUUCACGAGUAUUUAGAAUAGGCUUUGUGCUUUCUAACAUUAUAAAGUAAAAGAUUACUUUUUAUAUAUAAAAGACUCGAUAAUGAAAAAUAA